RNAcentral lists this ribosomal RNA (460 nucleotides) under uncultured bacterium. RNAcentral describes it as "partial 16S ribosomal RNA". It matches the Rfam family "Bacterial small subunit ribosomal RNA", at positions 338 to 795 of the family's 1533-position model. The record is from RNAcentral.
CCUACGGGAGGCAGCAGUGAGGAAUAUUGGUCAAUGGCCGAGAGGCUGAACCAGCCAAGUCGCGUGAGGGAAGACGGCCCUACGGGUUGUAAACCUCUUUUGUCGGGGAGCAAAGCGAACCACGUGUGGUUCAUUGAGAGUACCUGAAGAAAAAGCAUCGGCUAACUCCGUGCCAGCAGCCGCGGUAAUACGGAGGAUGCGAGCGUUAUCCGGAUUUAUUGGGUUUAAAGGGUGCGCAGGCGGGCUGUUAAGUCAGCUGUGAAAGUCCGGGGCUCAACCGUGGAAUUGCAGUUGAAACUGGAGGCCUUGAGUGCACGAAGGGUAGCCGGAAUGCGUGGUGUAGCGGUGAAAUGCAUAGAUAUCAUGAAGAACUCCGAGCGCGAAGGCAGGUGGCCGGGGUGCAACUGACGCUGAGGCUCGAAAGUGCGGGUAUCAAACAGGAUUAGAUACCCUUGUAGUC